UCGAAAAUCACUGUAGAUGUCUAGCUUCUU
RNAcentral lists this small RNA (30 nucleotides) under Bombyx mori (domestic silkworm). RNAcentral describes it as "ovarian small RNA-28124". The record is from RNAcentral. Lineage: Eukaryota; Metazoa; Arthropoda; Insecta; Lepidoptera; Bombycidae.